Small nuclear RNA from Suncus etruscus (white-toothed pygmy shrew), 110 nucleotides. Lineage: Eukaryota; Metazoa; Chordata; Mammalia; Eulipotyphla; Soricidae. The record is from RefSeq and is a predicted model, not a curated record.
GUGCUUGCCUUGGCAACACAUAUAUUAAAAUUGGAAUGAUACAGAGAAGAUUAGCAUGGCCCCUGUGCAAAAAGAAAUCCAAAUCAAUACAACAAUGGGAUACCAUCUUA